Molecule: ribosomal RNA, 548 nt
Filed under: uncultured Glomus
Lineage: Eukaryota; Fungi; Glomeromycota; Glomeromycetes; Glomerales; Glomeraceae
Description: SSU rRNA
Rfam family: Eukaryotic small subunit ribosomal RNA
Source: RNAcentral
UUGGAGGGCAAGUCUGGUGCCAGCAGCCGCGGUAAUUCCAGCUCCAAUAGCGUAUAUUAAAGUUGUUGCAGUUAAAAAGCUCGUAGUUGAAUUUCGGGAUCAAUUUAUUGGUCGUGCUAUUGUACGUACUGGUAUUAUUGAUUCCUACCUUCUGACGAACCAUGAUGUCAUUAAUUUGGUGUCAUGGGGAAUCAGGACUGUUACUUUGAAAAAAUUAGAGUGUUUAAAGCAGGCUCACGCUUGAAUACAUUAGCAUGGAAUAACGAAAUAGGACGUUUGAUUCUAUUUUGUUGGUUUCUAGGAUCGACGUAAUGAUUAAUAGGGAUAGUUGGGGGCAUUAGUAUUCAAUUGUCAGAGGUGAAAUUCUUGGAUUUAUUGAAGACUAACUACUGCGAAAGCAUUUGCCAAGGAUGUUUUCAUUAAUCAAGAACGAAAGUUAGGGGAUCGAAGACGACCAGAUACCGUCGUAGUCUUAACCAUAAACUAUGCCGACUAGGGAUCGGAUGAUGUUAAUUUUUUAAUGACUCAUUCGGCGCCUUACGGGAAAC